UACGAAGGGUGCAAGCGUUAGUCGGAAUUACUGGGCGUAAAGCGUGCGUAGGUGGUUCUGUAAGUCUGUCGUGAAAGCCCUGGGCUCAACCUGGGAAUGGCGAUGGAUACUGCGGAACUAGAGUACGGUAGAGGAUGGUGGAAUUCCCGGUGUAGCGGUGAAAUGCGUAGAGAUCGGGAGGAACAUCAGUGGCGAAGGCGGCCAUCUGGGCCAGUACUGACGCUGAGGCACGAAAGCGUGGGGAGCAAACAGG
Molecule: ribosomal RNA, 253 nt
Filed under: uncultured bacterium
Lineage: Bacteria
Description: partial 16S ribosomal RNA
Rfam family: Bacterial small subunit ribosomal RNA
Source: RNAcentral